UAAUACGGAGGGUGCGAGCGUUACCCGGAAUCAUUGGGCGUAAAGCGUCCGCAGGCGGUUUAUUAAGUUAAGUAUUAAAUCUUGGGGCCCAACCCUAAGGCUGUGCUUAAAACUAGUAGACUAGAGACUUUCAGGGGCAUGUGGAAUUCUGUGUGUAGGGGUUAAAUCCGUAGAUACACAGAGGAACACCAAAAGCAAAGGCAGCAUGCUGGGGAAGUUCUGACGCUCAUGGACGAAAGCGUGGCUAGCGAAACGGAUUAGAUACCCGUGUAGUCCACGCCGUAAACGAUGGAUACUAGGUGUUGGGAGGCUCGACCCUUUCAGUGCCGAAGCUAACGCAUUAAGUAUCCCGCCUGGGGAGUACGGUCGCAAGAUUA
This 377-nucleotide ribosomal RNA is filed under the name uncultured Candidatus Altimarinota bacterium. RNAcentral describes it as "bacterial SSU rRNA". It matches the Rfam family "Bacterial small subunit ribosomal RNA", at positions 521 to 896 of the family's 1533-position model. The record is from RNAcentral. Lineage: Bacteria; Candidatus Altimarinota.